GGAUGAGUGGCGAACGGGUGAGUAACACGUGAGUAACCUGCCCCUGACUUCGGGAUAAGCCCGGGAAACUGGGUCUAAUACCGGAUACGACCGCCGGACGCAUGUCUGGUGGUGGAAAGUUUUUUCGGUUGGGGAUGGGCUCGCGGCCUAUCAGUUUGUUGGUGAGGUAAUGGCUCACCAAGACGACGACGGGUAGCCGGCCUGAGAGGGCGACCGGCCACACUGGGACUGAGACACGGCCCAGACUCCUACGGGAGGCAGCAGUGGGGAAUAUUGCACAAUGGGGGAAACCCUGAUGCAGCGACGCAGCGUGCGGGAUGACGGCCUUCGGGUUGUAAACCGCUUUCAGCAGGGAAGAAGCGCAAGUGACGGUACCUGCAGAAGAAGUACCGGCUAACUACGUGCCAGCAGCCGCGGUAAUACGUAGGGUACGAGCGUUGUCCGGAAUUAUUGGGCGUAAAGAGCUCGUAGGUGGUUGGUCACGUCUGCUGUGGAAACGCAACGCUUAACGUUGCGCGUGCAGUGGGUACGGGCUGACUAGAGUGCAGUAGGGGAGUCUGGAAUUCCUGGUGUAGCGGUGAAAUGCGCAGAUAUCAGGAGGAACACCGGUGGCGAAGGCGGGACUCUGGGCUGUAACUGAC
RNAcentral lists this ribosomal RNA (641 nucleotides) under Brevibacterium sp. I15A-00300. Its description in RNAcentral is "bacterial SSU rRNA". It matches the Rfam family "Bacterial small subunit ribosomal RNA", at positions 89 to 744 of the family's 1533-position model. The record is from RNAcentral. Lineage: Bacteria; Bacillati; Actinomycetota; Actinomycetes; Micrococcales; Brevibacteriaceae.